Molecule: long non-coding RNA, 1830 nt
Organism: Esox lucius (northern pike)
Lineage: Eukaryota; Metazoa; Chordata; Actinopteri; Esociformes; Esocidae
Source: Ensembl
GCUAUUUAUUAUUAAAGAUUUGAGAGGAUGGAGAAGAGAGUAAUGAGGAAAAAAUAAGGGAGAAAAAGAGUGGGAGGAGAUUGUAGAAGAGUGAAGUGGAAAUGUAAAGAGAAUAAAAAGAAGAUAAGUGAAGAAAAUUAUAAAUAAUGGAGAGGAAAAAGUUAAGAGAGUAAGAAGGGUGACACAAGCAAUCCUGAAGGAAAUACCUUGUUCUGAGAAAUACACAGAUUUGGUGCGAGGUUUUGUAUUUUGUUUUGGUUUGGUAUUGAAUGUGCCCUGUUUUCAUUCUUUUUUUUUUAACGUAGCCUAUUAAUUUACCAAUAUCGUUUGCACCUGUGUCUUGUUUACCCCCAUGUAUGAGUUCUAUGUUUGUCAGUCAUUGUGAGGUAUUGUUUGCGUUUGCAACUCUACUGAGCCUUCUUUUCCUGAGCGUUCUGGUGUCUGAGGUAAGUAUUGAAAAAAGUAUGUUUAGUAUCCUGACCUUCGCCUGCCUACCUGGAUUUCCCCAUUUGUACUUCAGGCUCCUACCUACGUGCUUCACCAGUUACCGACCAUUUGCCUGACCUUUGACUUUACUACAGCCUGUCCCUUUUGCUUUGACGUUUUCCCCCUAAUAAAGGGUCCUGUGCUCUGUGCUUGGAUCCAUUCCUCCAUCCAACCAGUUUGUGUGCAUUCAUUACAUUUGGUUAGUAUAUGUAUAUUAUGUUGUUACCAAUCUCAUUGUCUUUUUUCUUUAUUUUGUUAAGUAUUAUCUGUAGUGUUACUAUAACAUAGUUGUUUUCUAUGUUUAACUCAGUGUGCCUGUUAGACUAAAUACAUUACUGGAAUUGCCCCCCUUUUGUAUUUCACAGGUAAUGACAUUAGACGUUUAAAUGGCAUUUCUGUCAAACUGGAAAUGUCCUCAGUUUUCAUUUGAGAAAUCAUCAACCAUGGCAUCCAUGACAGAGACAAUGAAAGAUGCACAGAUUCUUGGAAUAUUGAACACUUGAAUGUGAUCUGUAGUGAAAGAUUAUUGUUGAUGUUAGCUAGCUAGGUAACGUUAGCUUCCCUGGAAACAUUUCCUGGUUUUUAUCAUAUUUGAUUGCUUGUUCUGUUUGAUUCCUAGAUGUUUUCAAAUUGAUAUGAAUCAUCUUUGUAUGAUUCAACAUUGUCAACAGGUGGAGCCAGAGUCUAACACUUUAAAUCGAUUCUGAAUCCUCAAGAUAUGACACGAUACUACCAAGAAGUAAAUAAUCAGUUGAUGUUGAGCAGCUGGUGGUCAUGCUACACAUACUGUCAUCUACAAUGUUGUUCUGUUCACUUUUACUCUAUUUUGAGUUCAUAGGUCUCAGUUCAGAACAGGUAAUUUCACCCUACACUGAUGUACAACUGGCUACAGAAAAGGACAGUGUUAAACUUUCUUGCAACUACACCUCUGGAAGAAAUCUUCAAUGGUAUCGACAAUAUCCUAAAUCAUCACCAGAUUUAUUGGUUAUGGAACAUAUGCCUGCAACAACAUCAGGGAUCUCCAUAGAACAUGAUAAAAAUGCCAAACGUGUGGAUCUGAUGAUCUCCUCUGUUGAAGUGACAGACUCUGCUCUGUACUACUGUGCUUUGGAGCCCACAGUGACAGGAAACCCAGACACACUGUACAAAAACCUGUCAACAUACAUAUCAUGUCAGUUUCAAGAGGGGGUGUACAAUCAAGUUCCAAGUUAAGCCUAGGCAAUGUAAAUCUAUAAAAAGGAUUUAAUUUAUUGUGAACAGAUUACAUAUAUGUAAAUGGUAGAUUUGUCUUGAACCAAUUGCUUAUUUGAGUUACAGAACAGCAUUAUUUCAGGUACCUUGGAC